Molecule: long non-coding RNA, 14829 nt
Filed under: Ananas comosus (pineapple)
Lineage: Eukaryota; Viridiplantae; Streptophyta; Magnoliopsida; Poales; Bromeliaceae
Description: long non-coding RNA (ACOM_LNC032161)
Source: RNAcentral
UAUUUUAUGAAUCUUUUUCUCUUGCAAUUUAUUCUUCUUAGAUACCUUUCUGAUAAGGUAGAUGUGGCUUCAAUAUGAUGCAUUGAAGGAACGUUCAUACACCUUCAUGAUUAUAUGUAUGCACAUUUAGCAUAAUUUUUUUCUGUCUUGAUUUUAUUUUGUUGACAACUUUGGAGUUUCAUCGAAGCCACAGUGCAAGAUAUGCAUGGUUAGAAUGAAUUGAAAGGAUUCAUGUGAGCAGCCUAUUCUAAGUCUUGCAAUUACAAAAAAAGGACCUUUUGUUACUCUGUUUAUAUAUCCUGACUCAUAUUUGUCCUCGAAUAGUCAACUAUAUGAUGCUGUUUUAUUACGUAAAAUUUCCCAAUUUGAAUCAAAAUUGUGAUAUAUCUAGCAUUCUGUCACGAAUAUUAUGUGCUUCAUUUCAAUAUGAUGGGAUUUUUUUUGCUUCUGAUGGUUAUUUUACUCAGCCUUGGAUGUCCAGAGCUUAUGAUCCCUGCACAGAGAGGUAUGCCAAGAUUUAUUACAACCACCCAGAAGUGCAAAGAGCGCUCCAUGCUAAUGUAACUGGGAUUCGCUAUCCUUGGGAUACAUGCAGGUCUGCCACAACAUCUAAUUCUUAUUCUUAGAAUAUUUUUUCAUGUGGUGCUAAAAGUAGAAAAUAUUUUCUUCCCCUACACCUGUGACAGUGAUAUUGUCGGAACUUACUGGGCAGAUUCCCCUAGAUCCAUGCUUCCCAUUUACCGAGAGUUGAUUUCAGCUGGUCUAAGAAUAUGGGUAUUCAGGUAUGGCACAUUCUAUGUUACAGAUAUGGAUUAAGUUUUGAGAUUAAGUGUUGUUUGGCUUGCUUUUAGAAUAGCUUCUCUACUCUGAAAAGUAGCAGCCAACCAUUUGGCAAAUAAAUGGCCUAGAGUUUUCGCUGCUGCAGGGAGCUGAGAUAAAUACCUAAUAAAAGGAGAUUAAAAUUAUGUACAGAAAGGCAUUCUGUUCAGUAGAUCGUUCGUCAAACUGAUAAGGCAAUCCAUUGGGUGACCAGUCUCAACCAAUAGGAUGAAUUUUAGUAGGCCAAAAAUGGGUCUGAAUCUAGUGGUGGAACUUUUUUCUUAACCAAACAAUUGAAGCAUCUAAUGGGAUGCGAAUUUAUGAUCUCAUACUAUAAAACCUGGUUUUAUAUGAAAGUAACUGAUAUUGCCUCUUAACUGCUUGUGAUACCGCAAUUCCUCACGUUGCUUCUAAGGUUUUCCUUCUUCUUUCUACAGUGGAGACACAGAUGCGGUGGUCCCUGUGACUGCAACGAGGUACUCUAUAGAUGCUCUCAAGCUUCCGACCCUCAUCAACUGGCAUCCAUGGUAUGACAAUGGAAAGGUUAGUAAAAAGAAAACAUUCUGGAUAAUAGCCAAUCAUGAACCUCUCUCUCUCUCUCUCUCUCUCUCUCAAAAUGUUCUCCCACAGCUUCUUACUAUAUUAGAAAAAUAAACUUCAAAUCGGACCUUUUGCUUUAAGGUAUUAAAGUGCAUUUGAACUUCCUAAAACCGAAGCUCCUGAGUUCAGUGUGGCUUCUGUAGGCUUCUGCUUUAUGAACAAAGAAGCUGCUCUAGAAGCCAGAAUAAGCAAGUACUAACAGUCUGUCAAGUCCUGUUGGAAUUUCUACAGAGUAGCUGUUCGAAUAGAGGCUUUGAAGCAGUAGCAGCUUUUUCAUCAAGAUCUUCUUACAAACUUAUAAUUGCAGGAGAAAUAGAAGUUUAAAUUAGAGCUUUUACUUCUAGUGCCUAAAGGCUAAUUUUCAGCUUUCUUCACAACAAAAAUUCCAAACCUGUUUUUUGUGAAACAUCUGUUUGUAGAAUUUUUUGCCUUUUGGAAUAGAGAAGGUGCUCAAAACUCGAGCGAAACAAGCAUUGAAUUUGUAAUAACCAAUUCUUUUCCCACUGAGCUAAUCAUUUUUCCUUCUCUCUCCGUUGCCGUUUGAUAGGUUGGAGGGUGGAGCCAAGUCUACAAAGGUCUGACUUUUGUAACCAUUGCUGGUGCGGGACAUGAAGUGCCGCUCCAUCGGCCUCGACAAGCAUUGAUACUGUUCAGGCAUUUCUUGCAGAAUAAACCCAUGCCGCAACGGUAACUACUCGAAAUAAGAGAACUACAAAAUGAUGAGAAGAGAGGUUCUCGAAGAACGAAGUAUGGAGAAACAAGAAUCAACAGAUUAAGCUAGGGCAAUUAUAUUCUUUGGUCACCUACAUUCUUUCCUAUUGUAGCAGCCAAUGUACUAGCAUAUCAAAUCAAGGCUGUAUUGACAUAAAUAAAGAACUGUCGCUAAAAUUUGAUUGUUUUUAGGCUGUAUCUAUGGAAUCAUAUUUGUAUUUAGUACCUAACACUAUCCUCAUCCAUUGCUCUUCCCAUUUGAUUUGUUUCGUGAGAGAUUUCAGUAAUUCUCUCAUUGAUUUCCGCUAGACUUACUGUGCGGUCUGCCGACCUGCAAACUCUUUUUUCUUUUUUCUUUUUUCCUUUUUUAAGCACUUCUUUCAACGGUCUUAGUAGUGUUGAGCUUUUCGGAGCUGAGCUGAGCCGAGCCUAUUUCAGUAUCAUCGAGAAGGACGAACAAUGUAUCGUUACAUUUGUCCGCCAUGUAUCCUUCCAUUCUUGAUCGCAUAUCAUAAAAAGAGCAACGAAACGCAACUUGUGCAUUUCAAAUCAGGUUAUAUAUUUUACACUCACUCUAUUAAAAAAUUAUUAAUUUUUUAUAUAUCACAUUAAUUUCUUUAUUUUUAUUAAAAAUUAUUUGAAUAUUUGUGAACUUAAGAUGGAGAGCGUAAAAUUUACGCUUUUUUUUUUAAGAAUGUACAAAUAAAAUUUUUCAUUAAAAAUAUUUGAUUGAGACUAUAUAUCAAUAUGCAUUUAAUUUUAUCCCAGAUUAUCUAAUAAUUUCCUUAAUUGGCAGCCUCGUCCUGUCCUUAGGAGCAUUCAAGGAGGUCGUUGAACCGCCUGUCAGAUUUUUUUUUUUUUUUUUUUUGAGAGAGAGAGAUACCGCUUCGUUUAUUUCAUUUAAAAAUUGACUUAGCUGGACUACGGUGUUUCUUUUUUUGUGUCCUAAUUAAUUCACCUCCGCACGUGUCAAGCACGUGCGUAUUUGCUCUUCCAUUUCUCACCCGGGUUACUUGCGCCAUUGGUUUAUCCGGUGAUUAUUUUGUUCUAUUUAGCUUUCACAAUUCAUAAAUUUAUAGUAUUUAAUUGGUAAUAGCUUUUUAACUCAGGUAAAAAUUAUCAUAUGAUAAGGUUUGAUGCUAACAUAAAAUUAUGGCGUAGUAUUGGUGUAAUAAAUUUCCGUUCAAGUGAUAAGCAUAAAAAAACUUAAUUUUUGUAAAACUUGAAAAUUAAGAAAUAAAUGUAAAUAAUUUCGGUAAAGGGAGGGGAAGAAACCGCGGAAUUAGCACAAAAUUCCACUAACCAGCUCCGCGACAUGGUCGGAUCGGACCGGACCUCGGACCUGUCCGAACCGAGACGAACCCGACCCGGACCGGACAAAGAGCAAUGCUCGGGUCUCGAGCUCGCUAUAAAAUGGACGGGAACGGGUAGAGGGGAAUUUUCUCUCUCCUCUUCUCUCCUCUCCUCUCCUCCCUUUCUGUGAUCCCGAUCGCUUUUCCCGUCUCUCUCUCUCUCUCUCUCUCUCUCUCCCUCUCUCUCUCUCUCUCUCUCUCUCUCUCUCUCUCUCUCAUAUUCCCCUUUCGAACAACCAUGGCGAGGGGAAGCUCCCAAUCGCAAGCCUCGGCGACGGCGGGGUCGGGGGCGCGGCCGACGAUGGCGGGGCCGCCGGGUUCGGCGGCGGAGGAGCCGGCGGGGGAAGCAACAUGCUCCGCUUCUACACCGACGACGCCCCGGGGCUCAAGAUGUCGCCCACGGUGGUGCUGGUGAUGAGCCUCUGCUUCAUCGGCUUCGUCACCGCGCUCCACGUCUUCGGCAAGAUCUACCGCUACCGCUCCGCCGCCUCCGGAGGCGGCGCCUCUUAAUCGCCGCCGCCGCCGCUGCACUGUGAGGGAUCUCUUGCUUUGGUUGAACCCUUCCUUUUUUUCUGCUGUUUCUUUUUUAAUCUUUUGUGCUAAAAGUAAGAUCGAUUUGCUUCUGUUUUGCUUCUGAUUAUGUUAGGGUUUGAUCGUUUCCGAGCUGAUAUCAGAUCCUGUGUUCGAGGAUUUGUUUCAAUAUGUAGUGUUUAAUUUGCUUCUGGUAUUAUUUUCUGGUAAUUUUACUAGUUUGCUUAUAGAUUGCUGCGCUAUAAUUUUAGUAAGUUUGAUUGGUUGCAACAUCUGGAUCGGAUUAUUUAUGGUAAUUAGUGCUGCUGAUACUGUCAUAAUGAUGUACUUCUCUUUAAUUGCGUGCAUAUCUAAGUCCCGAUUAAAUAAAUGGAUUAGCUCGGGUGUAUUACCAUAAAUGAUCUUAUUGAUCGUUUACUACCUCCAAUAACUUUCUAAAUUUGUUACUAUUUUUAGUAUUUUGUUUGUGCAAAUGCUGUUAAUAGAUAGGUGGCUAAUCUUGUAAGUUUAUGGGUAAUUCUAAAAAUCUAACAAGUGCAUUUAGUAUACUUCUUAAUUAAUAUUUAAUAGGAGGCAGUACCAAUUUGCAAGAUGGUACAAAUUUGGUGUUGCCGCGUUCAAUGAUUGGUGAAAAUAAUUUACGUUGGAUAAAAUGGAUCACUUCAUAGUAAGUGAAACAAUAAUUUGUUUAAUUUUGCCUCAUAAACUGUAACCAACUACUAGUUAAGAUACCUUACUCAUAAACUGUAACCAACUACUAGUUAAGAUACCUUAACCCCCUAUUAAAUGUUUCUUAACAAGUGUUGCUCUUGGUAUAAAAGCAUUUGGGUAGCGAGACUAUGUAAUGAAUCAGUGAAAAGAUUUGGUUUUCAUAAUAAGCCUCUCUUUCUUUCUGUUGCUAGCAACUAUAUAUGUUUAAAGGCUUGAUUUUAAGUGGAGUAGAGAGCUUGAUAACUAUGAUUCUGGUUGGAGGUAUGAGGCAAGAGACUAGUAAGAUUCACAUGCACCAUAUUGUACCCAAAUGGGGGAUUAUCGGACUUGAAUCAAAGAGUUCUGCGCAAUUUGUAAGCCUUUGAGCCAGUCAUUAAGUAGAGGAUCCUCACCUAUAACAAAUUACCAAAGUGAGAUUUUUGACGUACCUUAUGCUCUGAGAAUGUAGGAAGGAUUGGAUACUUACCUUUCCUUUGCAUUAGCAUUAUAGCUCAUUUAAAUCUUCUGUAUAAUUUGAUCUGGAUUUUUAGGCUCAUUUGUUCCGUUUUUUAAGUAGCAGCAACAUUGUGGAUUCCUUAACAAAUUGAGAACACUUAUUGGUAUUCAUUUGAACAUGUAUGUUUAUUUUGCUGUAUAACGGAGAAAGUGAAGUUUCAAGUAUUAGGCAACUAAGCUGAAAGGUUUCAUGAUUAAUAACACUUGAUACCUACGCUAAGACAAACUGAACGUCAAUUUUUAAGUGCAAUAGGUACUAUUCUUCCUUUUCAGGUUUUUUUAUAUGCUUCUCUUGAACUGGGCCUCAAAAUCCAUAUUGAAGAUCCUGCUGCUUCAUUUACAAAAAAGUAACAUUUUCAUGUUAAAUUCAUUUUGGAAAGAACAUGCGCCUCUUUUGGUCGUGUCUUGUGGAUUUGUGUGCUCCUGUUUCCCAUUCUAGUAAAAUUAUGAACACAUUACACGAAGUAUUCUUUUGCAAGGCUUUUAGGAUGCCAAACAUAUAAGAUUGAAUGAACUUUAUUUAACCAAAGAAGUGCUACAGAGUAGCUUUCAUAAUUUGUAUGGUUUCACGAUUAUGAUUUUAGUUUAUGGUUUGUCUUGGACCUCCAGCCACCUUACAUUUAAAGUAGUAACUAACGACUAUACUAAACAGCUUACUAGUUCGUUUUGUAAUUGGUUGUUCAUCUAAUAUAUAUUUAGUCAAUAGAAGAAUGAUUGCAGGGUAUGAUAGAAAAAUCAAGAUUGUGCGCUUAUGUGUUGGUUUUAUCUCAUUUUAAUUGCAAACAGUUCUGUUUUCUCUCAAGAUUGAAUGUUUGGUUUCUCAUCACUUGUGGAAUUCUCUCGGUGCGGUAGAACUGCUUAUAUGUUUUUUCCCUUGCUUUUUUUUUUUUUUUUUUUUUUUGUGUGUGCUUAAACGUAUCUAUAAGCCUGAUUGGAUCUGAAACCCACUGAUGUGAAACCGGUCACUCAUAAUUAACAUCCGAGCUUUCACUUUCAGAGGACAAAUAAUGGCAAAUAUCGUACAUAUAUUAGUCUUAUAAUUGUGAACCCUAGAUAAAGGAAGGGCUAAAAAUGUUCAGGUAGUGCCUGAACUUUCAACUAAAAAUAAAACCCCUCCCUGCCAAAUGUCAAUAUAUGCUAUGGGCUCUGCAUUCUUCAUAAUUAUACGUCGUAUCCUCAACUAUUAGGUUGUUCUGAAAUGGCCCUUGAAUUUUUCUGAUUGGCAAUACCUUCUGAAUUUUUUCUGAUUGGUCCCUACCAGAAUAACUCAAGUUGAAAAAUAAAAUAAAAUAAAAUCGAGGGACCUAUUUCAAAAUUGUUUUUAGUAGAGAGGCUUUCAAGUCAUUUUACCGAGUAUCCGAUCGCCAAAAGAAGAGCCUUCUCAAAUACCGAGUGAUCAAUCGCGUUGAAAACCGUAUACUGUUUUUUUUUAAGGUUAGAACCGAAAGGGGCCCAAAAAAGUCUUAUCACUAAAAAUGCUAGCGUCCGAGAGAGCCCACUACGAACUUUCUCGGCCGGAAAAAAAAAUGCGCCCCAUUAUAUAACUUAUGGGCCCUACUGUAGAUGAAAGGUGUUAAUGGGCUUAAUGUAGGCCCAUUUAAAUGAAACAUCCUCGUGGCUACAUUCGGCCCAAGCUAUCUUGGAGCGGGCUUUGUCUCACUCCUGCACGUCUAGUUUUGGAAACUCUCGGGCUUUACCUUAAAAAUAAAAACUUUUCAGUUUUCACUUUUCCUUUGGAAUAUUGUAUGUACUAGUAAUUACCAAUUAGCGGUGCCUAUUCUCUUUCCAAAGCGUGUUUCUUUCUUUCUUUUUUUCUGAAAAAAUGAACGUUUAUUUGUCGUAGAAAAAUAUUUGAUUCGAAUAAAAAAUCAUAGCAUUACUCUGUUAAUAAUAUUACCCUAAUAUUUGAUUCAAUUUAAAAUCAUGAUCUUUAUAUGACGUGAAAAAAUUGUCUUCAUUAACAGCAACUCCCUUAACAACCCUUGUACCCACCCUAGUCAGAUAACGCUAAUGCUUCAUUGACUCUUAUUUCACAAUGAUCUAUGCUUUAGGCAUUAAUCAUGUUACUUCACCACAAUGAACAACUGCAAAGAUAAAACCUCCAUUUCAAAGUCCUACCACCAUUUAUUCAGUCUCAGAACAUACACAUUUUGUCCGAGCAAGAACAAUAUAUAUAUAUAUACUCCAACAGCUAAAUAAUAAAUAGUAGCUAUCAGUGUAUGAAGAUCACGAUGAUGAAAUCAGCAGUCUGAGACAGACCAACACAACAAAAUUAAAAAAGCAUCUUAACGACACAGCCAAAUGAAUAAUCAUGUUAGGAUUCAAAAAAAAUUCACCAUAAUAUUCCAUUUCAAACUGCUGAGAAGCCGAAACGCUCGCAAUUUUAGAAUACACCAUAAUCAGGGCCAAGAAAAGCUUGCAGUAAAUGAUCAAUUGAAAUCAUUAAAAUUUUCUUUAAGUAGUAAUGAUUUUUCCUCUGGAUCAAAAAUAGUAACAACCUUCAAGAAUAGCCCUCAUCUCUCCUCAACGAACAAUCAAGAACCAUGGAAGCCGAGGAAGCCAUGAUUAAUCCAUCAAUCAAUCAUAUGCAAAUGUACAGAUCCUGUUCUUAAAGCUAAUAAAGGCGAGGGAUAUAUUAUAAAAAUUGCCCGAGAACUUCACAACUUGUCUCAAUUAUAUCCCCACAGUUCGACUGUGAUGUCAACUUUUGCAUCAAACAAGCUCAGUUGUUUAAGAUGACUGCUGAAUACAAAUAGAAAAUGCAACAAAAAUGCAUUGGAAGAUGCAUGGCUUGUAUAAAUAAUACAAGCCAUCUAUUUACCGAAACAAAAUUCUCCACUGAUCAACAAGAUAUACUGAUUUUGAACAUAUGUGAAGAUGAAGUGUCUUCAAGUGUCAAGAGAUUGAACAUGGAAUAGUGCUGAUGGGCUCAGCGACUCGAAGAAUAAGUACGGUUGCCAUACAUUAUAAAUCGACAAAUCGACAAAAUAAAUCUAUGUUGCAGAACUAUUUCAGAAUCUUGAAGAGCAGAAGAUUAUUUCUCAUGUCAAAGAGCAACUUAUCAGAGAUAUCCGCCACAUUAACCUGUUUCUAUGUAGAUCAACAAAAUUUCAUGACUCCUACAUACAAGUAGUCAAUAUCAUGCUGCAAAUAAGCUCAAGAAAAUGGCAAAAUAGAGUGCACAUUAGGAAAAUUCAAAACAUGCCAAUUUAUCUGUGCAUCACAGGCCAUAUACAUCUUCUCAAGUUUAAUGUUGUUUGACUACUUUUCAAUAUUUUCUUUUACCCAAUAAGCCUUGAUAAUAAAAUGACUCAUCAUUAGACAACCUUAAACCUUGUCUCAAAAAGUAUAGGAGGUGAAAAGGUACUUAGGACUAUGAUUAUUGAUCUAAAAGCAAUUACUAAAUGCUGAAAAUUGAGUACCCGAACAGCUAGUGCGAAAAUUAAGACGGGCUAAACAAAAUCAUUCAAACCCUUUACUAUGAGCAAAACAGUGGGUCAAAAAUAGCAACCAUGACAUGCGCAAAGAAUUUAAUUUACUUCUCGUUUUAUGAUAUGGACACAACUUAAGAACAUACACUCCAGACGAAGCAGAGUAACUUUUAUACAACCGAAGUAAUUACAAGUAACAUUGAAGCUUUAGAAACUUACCAUCUUCUGUUCUUUUUCUUCUCACUUUUCACAGCCACAUACCAAUUCUACAACAAGAAACUCCGCAGAAAAAAAAAACACCAACAAUCCAUUAACAUAUUUUCAUUGCGUGGAAAGGAAAUUACCUGAAUCAUCAGACAAAGGUUGCAACGCGCUGAUCUUUAUAUUGUACUUCCGUCGGUCUGAUACACCAAUCUCGGAGCUUGAAUCUGGACCAUCAGAUCCAUUAGAGGGGAAAACCUCAUCGUAGGCACUGCCGAUAUAGUUCCCACACUUGCGGCAGAGCAAUUUGGUCCUCUUCCUGAGAAAUCCCCAUGAAUUCUUAGAAUUGAAGUAAGGCAAACAGCUAAACUCAUCGCUUUGAGUGAACCGACUCUCAUCGACCGCGAAGAAGGAGACGAUCCCCUUCUUGAUCGCCUUCCCGUACUUCGAGCCGAUGUUCGAGGUAUUCCUAUUAGAAGAGCUCAGAUUCAAAGCAUAACCGCAAUAUCCGCAGCUGCGAUAAUGAACCCCAAUUCAUCAAAUCGACCACAUGGAAUCAAACAAACAUGUGUACAUAAUUCAACUUAAUAACUCCCAAAUUUAGAAUCCAAUUAGGGUUUCUUCCAGUAUUAACUUCAUUAAUUCCGAAUGCUACAAGCAUCAGAUUAAAUGGAAAUCCCGAAAUUCUUCAUCAAAACCAGUUAAAACAGCUAUUAAAUUAGGGCUUUGGGUCUCUAAGAUGAAUCCACUGCUCCGAUAAAGAUAACAUCAUCACGGAUCCAUGCCAUGAUAAAAAUAGUCGAUCAUUCGACGAACGAAGCGAGAGAACGAGAGGAACCUGUAGGUGACGUCCUUGGUGGAGGAGAAGCUAUCGAGUGUCUUCGCCGCACCCUUUCUAGAACCUUCUUGGAUAACCAUGGAGACUCCAGAACCCUCGAGAAGAGUGCGAUCGAUCGAGCGAGCGAGCGAGCGAGAGAUCGAAGGCGAUCUUGGCGAUGCGUGGGGUUAGGGUUUGGAGAGAAGAUGAGGAUGAGGAGGACGAAGCCGUGUCGAAGAGGAACGAGGGAGACGAGCGAGAGAGAGAGAGAGAGAGAGAGAAAGCGAAAAGCGCUUCUGCGACGUAGGUUUCCACGGCCUUUCCACGUCGGUGCUCCGUGUUGAAUAAAUAAUGCGGAUGUCGAAUCGCCAAACAGUGGGGUGGGUCACUAGUAGUCACUACUUCCUCUUUCCCUUUGGUUCUAUGCGAGUGUGACUUCAUGAUCGCGAGAUUUUUCUCCUUUUUUUUCUUUUUUUUUUUUAAGAAAAAUUUCAAAUACUCCUCACAUGAUUUUAUUCUUUCUCACUUUAGUAUCACUUUAGUACACUAUAGUUUAAAAUAUAUCAUGUUAGUACUAUAUAGUUUUGCAUUUUCUCACUCUAAUAUUAUAUAAUUUCGCACUUUCUGACUUUAAUACCUCUGUAGUUUAAAAAUCAUAAGGUAUUAACUUGAUACAAAAAUAAAAUUACAGGAUACUAAGUUGAUACAAAAAUAAAAACACACAGUACUAACUUAAUACACUUUAAACUAUACGGUACUAAAGUGAGAAAAUGCGAAAUUAUAGGGUACUAAUUUAAUACACUUUAAACUAUAGGGUACUAAAAUAUAAAAGUGUGAAAUAAGGGAGCGUUUUUGAAGUUUUCUUGUGUGUNACGUCUCUACUCUCUGGUGGGUGUGAGUGUGGUGUGUGUGUGUGUGUGUGUGUGUGUGUGUUUUGUUGGAGUUAAAUGCACCUCAGCUAGUGAAGCUUUGCCUAUUUAUACAGAUUUAUGUAAAUAUAAUAAAUAAUAAAUAUAUUUUUAUAAAUUAAAUUUUUAUAUAUUAUUUUUAUAAAAAUUCUGUGUUUCUCUAAUUUGUUAGAGUUAGAGAACUAUUUAUUUUUUUAACUUUACCAUCAUAAAUAUAUUCUUUUAAUAACAGUAAAAUAUAAUAUAAGAGGGGUAAAAAAAUUAAAAAUUAAUUAAGAUUAAGUAUUUAACCUAUGAUUAACUAAAUUUUUCUAAUGGAUUCUAAUGGCAAAGAAAUAUUUGAAAAUAUCAGGACUUUUGUAGGGACAAUAUAUGAACGUUGAACUUUGUUGAGGUAUAUUUGCUAUUCACUAUAUUUGUAGGGAUCUGUAUAAAAUUAACCCUUAUAUUUAGUUAUCUAUUUUUUUUUAAAAAAUAUAUUUUAAAAAUUUUAAUUUUAAAUUAUAUAAUAUGACUAAUAUUACAUGAUCAAAAAAUAAUAAAAAAUACAUACCGGAAACAUAAACAAAAUAUUUUUGAUGCCAAAAUUCGGUGUUAUGUCAAAAAUGUUAACUUUUAGUGUUUAAUUUUUACUCUGUAAAUAUGAUAAUUAUUGUUAGUGUGUAAUUUGGAUAGUAAUAGUUUAUAUUUUGAAAGUUCAGGAGAUCAAAUCUGGAUUAUUUUAAUGCAUUUAAUAAUUUAUCUAAUAAAGUUUAUCUUUGCUCAUCAGCAAAAAUGCACUGAGACCAUUAGAUUUAAAUGAUUAUUUCGUUGCAAAAUAAACACAAAAAAUAUACUCAGCAUGUUUGUUUUUUUGUUUUUUUAAUAACAAGUAUGAACUAAUGCACACUUAUUAAAAUAUUCAUCUUUAAAUGUUCAUGGAAAUUAAGGAUGUUUCUCUUUUACUGGUAAAUUAUAACAUUUGGCAACUCGACUAUUUGCAUAUUUUUUUCGAGACUUUAAUUUCUUACAAUUUACAGGACUCUAAAUUUUUCUUUUGUUGAUCAUUUCUCAAUACUAUACCAUUUUUGAAAAAUGGUAACAAGUUAAUAAAUUAUCUAAUUCAUUUAUCAUGUCAUAUAAAUAUAUUUAACAAUUGUACUCAAUUUGGCCCUCGGAUCAAAUUUUGUCAUGAAAAUAAUCUCGCAUAUAUUUUUUGCCUGCAUAUUUACUAUUUUUCACCAAUCCUUCUCAAAUUCAUGGCCUCAAAUAUAUAAGUAAUAAUUUAAUAUAGUCAAUUACAACAAUUUGAAAUUUUAGAUUAUUCUAAAAUUUAGAUGGUUUAUAGAGUCGAGCUAUGAUCAUUUGAGAUUAUGAAUAGUAUACUAUACACUUUUUAACUUUUAAAGAAAUUACUAUAGACAAUAUUCAUAUCCUUUAAAAAAAAACGUAAUUGAACUAUACACAUAUCCUUAUAAAAGAAUAGUAACUAAAUUAUAUACAUAUCUUUAUAAAAAAUAGUAACUGAAUUAUAUAUAAAGUAUUGAUCCUCAAAAUGGCUCAUGCAUGAGCUACACGUGUGGGCACACGUGUUGGCGUUCGAACCUUGAUUGAUGAUAACAAUGAUCACAUUAAAAAAAUUUGGUAGGUACAAAGCACUUCUCUGAUUCUCAGGUUGUAACACGUCAAACUCAUCCUUGACAAAAUAUAAAACAUGUACUAAUUGCAAUAAUUAUUAGAAGUAAUAUAUGAAAUGUUUUUUUUUUUUUAGAGAAAUAGAUAGCGAGCUAUUCGUUUAAUUCAUUAGAAAAAUGAACUAGGCUUAUAUAAUGAAAGCAGUCAGGACUUUCGAAGAAAGAAAGAGCAAAACAAGUAACAAAAAGCUAAUGCGGGGGAUGAGAAAGGCAGAAAAAAAACAUGGAAAAACAAGGAAAGAAAGAACGAAACAAGGAGAAGAAAAGAAAACAAAAAAGAAAGAAAGAAAAAAAAAAAAACCGGAUCAACGAAUUGCAUUCCAGGUGUCCACCAAACACUUAACACGUAUGCUCCAAACACCAGGAGGGGUUGGGGGCAAUCUCGCGAAAGAUAAUGCCGUUCCUCUCCGUCCAAACAACCCACCAGAUAGUGGAAAGAAGAGCCAGGAAAGUAAGUCUCUUGUUGUUGUCCGGUAUAACGAUCAGUCUUGACCAGAGAUCUCUCACAUCCUCCGAGGGUUCAGACAGAACCUCCAACUCGUCGACGCUGAUCAGAAUGAAGCGAACGAAGAUACAGGAGCUCAAGAGGUGAUCACAACUCUCUACAUUGACGGCACAGAAGAUGCAAAAUUGAGACGCUAACCACUCUCUUGCGUGAAGCCUUUUUGUGGUGGGGAUUCUGUAAUUGAAAGAAAUAGAAAUGAACUCAUCCUCCGAGGGCUCAGAAAGAAAUGAACUCAUGUACUAAUUGAAAGAAAUGAACUCAUGCAAAAUUGAGACGCUAAACACGAUAUAUGAAAUGUGUUUUAACACAUUUUGCCACGUUUUUCUUUUUUGAUACUUUAGAAACUCUUUCGUUCUAUUUAAGGAAUACUUGUGUUUUUUUUAGACCCAUGCAUGAGUUCAUUUCAGAAGCUCGAAAAUAAAUAAUUACUAAUUUGCAGUGCCUACAAUUAAGUAAACUGAAUGUUUUAAAAAAUGCUGAUGAUUUUAAUAGAUUUAAAUUUAAAUUGCACAGAUAAUAGAAUUUUUUUUAGAUACAUGGCCUGUUUAUAAUACGAGCAUCUUUCUAAGCUAAAGAGAUUAGUUGAUUCUUGAUUUCUUUUCUUUUUUUCGUUUUUGUUUUAGCUUAAUUAUAAAGCCUCCCACUAUUUUGUUUCCCAUCUCAAAUAUCGCUCUACAUAAUAUAUAUAUAUAUAUAUAUAUAUAUAUAUAUAUAUAUAUAUAUAUAUAUAUAAAAGUUGGGCUACUAUACUCUUAUGAGUAGUGGGCCCUUAGUACUCAUAAGUUGUUUUCGAUGAUGGAGUUUCCGAAUCGACGAUCCACUCCGUUAAAUAUGAUNNNNNNNNNNNNNNNAUAUAUAUAUAUGCACAACGCUUCAGUCUCGUAUCAAAUAGAUUUAAUAAUUUGAAAAUUAUGAUAACUUCUCAUGAAAAUGGUAACAGGCGAUGAUGUGGUAGGAUGAUUUGACAUGAAAUACUUAAAUCGUCGCGUGCAUGCGUGGAUGCUUUUUUAUGAUUCCUUUUCAAUUCUAAUAAGUAGAAAGUAUGCUUAAAUGGAUUCGGAGGAGGUGUAUUAUUUAAGCGGAAAAUAGUUAGGAUUAACUAGAAAUUCUAACAGCGGGACAUAUUUAAAAUAGAUUGCAGUAUUAAUAUUGUUUAAAUUUUUUAUAUAUGAGAAUAUUUGAGACGCGAGACAAAGUGCAAGAAGAAUUUUAUAAUUUGUCUUUUUUUAAUCUUUUAUUUUUCAAAGAAAAGAUAUACAAUUUGUUUAGAAAAAAUACGAUCUCUGCACGUUGGGUCCUUUGUUGGUUGAACAGGUUUGUGAAUGCAACCCGCACUAACUUAUAAUAAUAAUGAAAAACUUAAAAAAUAAAAGUAAAGGUAAACACGUAUUAAUUAUACGAUUAGCAUAUGAAAAGCAGAAUCUCGCGGAAAGAAUAUAUUCCGAAAAAAGAACCCAAUUAGAUUGGUAAUUGAAUACAUCAAAAGAAGCUGAAACAAGGAGCCCUUUUUAAUCAACAGAUUAUUGAAUUGGAUCAUUAUUUUUUACUUUUGUUUCUCCCAAAUUAGGCCAACAAUUCAAUUUUGUAGAGGCUUCUAGUACAUGCUCUCCUGAAUCUACAUUGUUUUAUUAUGGUUUAGGAAAAAAAAACAAAGUAAUAUUGGUGUCAUUUUUAAAGUUUUAUACUUUCGAGGUAAAUUAAGGCUAUUGCUUUGUAAAUUGUAAUUACUAUUUAUGGGAGGAAAAAAUAUUGAUAUUAAAACUUUUUGAUUAAUAGGUUAUAGUCUAGAAUUUAAUAGCUUCAUGCAAAUAUAACAAAAGGGCAAUAAGGUUGUUCCCAAAUUCUCACUUUAUGAACUCAAGUUAGUAAAUUUAUUUUUUUUAAGAGAUAGGUAGCACACUAUCUUCUUCGUUUAUUUCAUUUAGAAAUAAACUUAGCUGGAAAUGUGAAUCAAUUAGGAUUCGAACUCGGGUCUCAGGUAUCAACCACCAAGCCCUUUGCCACUUGCUCUAGAAACGGUCGGUAAGUUAGUGAAUUUAUUAUAAUUAUAAAAACUAUACUAAACGAUGCUAUAG